Molecule: ribosomal RNA, 431 nt
Filed under: uncultured bacterium
Lineage: Bacteria
Description: partial 16S ribosomal RNA
Rfam family: Bacterial small subunit ribosomal RNA
Source: RNAcentral
CGACCGCUGGCGGCAUGCCUAACACAUGCACGUCGAACGAGACCUUCGGGUCUAGUGGCGCACGGGUGCGUAACGCGUGGGAACCUGCCCUUAGGUUCGGAAUAACUCCCCGAAAGGGGUGCUAAUACCGGAUAAUGUCUUCGGACCAAAGAUUUAUCGCCUUUGGAUGGGCCCGCGUUGGAUUAGCUAGUUGGUAGGGUAAAAGCCUACCAAGGCGACGAUCCAUAGCUGGUCUGAGAGGAUGAUCAGCCACACUGGGACUGAGACACGGCCCAGACUCCUACGGGAGGCAGCAGUGGGGAAUAUUGGACAAUGGGCGAAAGCCUGAUCCAGCAAUGCCGCGUGAGUGAUGAAGGCCUUAGGGUUGUAAAGCUCUUUUACCCGGGAUGAUAAUGACAGUACCGGGAGAAUAAGCUCCGGCUAACUCCGUG